RNAcentral lists this transfer-messenger RNA (101 nucleotides) under Thermodesulfobacteriota bacterium. Its description in RNAcentral is "partial transfer-messenger RNA". It matches the Rfam family "transfer-messenger RNA", at positions 1 to 102 of the family's 374-position model. From Rfam's summary of the family: Bacterial tmRNA, also known as 10Sa RNA or SsrA, is named for its dual tRNA and mRNA-like properties. The record is from RNAcentral. Lineage: Bacteria; Pseudomonadati; Thermodesulfobacteriota.
GGGGGCGAUGAGGGCUCGACGGGGAUAGGUAGGGUUAAACUGCAGGCCGUGGUCGCACCCGCCACGUAAAAAAGGGUGCAAAAACACAAAUGCCGACGAUU